This 1343-nucleotide ribosomal RNA is filed under the name uncultured bacterium. RNAcentral describes it as "16S ribosomal RNA". It matches the Rfam family "Bacterial small subunit ribosomal RNA", at positions 28 to 1378 of the family's 1533-position model. The record is from RNAcentral.
GACGAACGCUGGCGGCGUGCUUAACACAUGCAAGUCGAACGGAAAGGCCCUGCUUUUGUGGGGUGCUCGAGUGGCGAACGGGUGAGUAACACGUGAGUAACCUGCCCUUGACUUUGGGAUAACUUCAGGAAACUGGGGCUAAUACCGGAUAGGAGCUCCUGCUGCAUGGUGGGGGUUGGAAAGUUUCGGCGGUUGGGGAUGGACUCGCGGCUUAUCAGCUUGUUGGUGGGGUAGUGGCUUACCAAGGCUUUGACGGGUAGCCGGCCUGAGAGGGUGACCGGCCACAUUGGGACUGAGAUACGGCCCAGACUCCUACGGGAGGCAGCAGUGGGGAAUAUUGCACAAUGGGCGGAAGCCUGAUGCAGCAACGCCGCGUGCGGGAUGACGGCCUUCGGGUUGUAAACCGCUUUCGCCUGUGACGAAGCGUGAGUGACGGUAAUGGGUAAAGAAGCACCGGCUAACUACGUGCCAGCAGCCGCGGUGAUACGUAGGGUGCGAGCGUUGUCCGGAUUUAUUGGGCGUAAAGGGCUCGUAGGUGGUUGAUCGCGUCGGAAGUGUAAUCUUGGGGCUUAACCCUGAGCGUGCUUUCGAUACGGGUUGACUUGAGGAAGGUAGGGGAGAAUGGAAUUCCUGGUGGAGCGGUGGAAUGCGCAGAUAUCAGGAGGAACACCAGUGGCGAAGGCGGUUCUCUGGGCCUUUCCUGACGCUGAGGAGCGAAAGCGUGGGGAGCGAACAGGCUUAGAUACCCUGGUAGUCCACGCUGUAAACGGUGGGUACUAGGUGUGGGGUCCAUUCCACGGGUUCCGUGCCGUAGCUAACGCUUUAAGUACCCCGCCUGGGGAGUACGGCCGCAAGGCUAAAACUCGAAGGAAUUGACGGGGCCCCGCACAAGCGGCGGAGCAUGCGGAUUAAUUCGAUGCAACGCGUAGAACCUUACCUGGGUUUGACAUGGAUCGGGAGUGCUCAGAGAUGGGUGUGCCUCUUUUGGGGUCGGUUCACAGGUGGUGCAUGCCUGUCGUCAGCUCGUGUCGUGAGCUGUUGGGUUAAGUCCCGCAACGAGCGCAACCCUUGUUCACUGUUGCCAGCACGUUAUGGUGGGGACUCAGUGGAGACCGCCGGGGUCAACUCGGAGGAAGGUGGGGAUGACGUCAAGUCAUCAUGCCCCUUAUGUCCAGGGCUUCACGCAUGCUACAAUGGCUGGUACAGAGAGUGGCGAGCCUGUGAGGGUGAGCGAAUCUCGGAAAGCCGGUCUCAGUUCGGAUUGGGGUCUGCAACUCGACCUCAUGAAGUCGGAGUCGCUAGUAAUCGCAGAUCAGCAACGCUGCGGUGAAUACGUUCCCGGG